AUCGGUAGCUAAGUAAGGACUCUAGCGGCAACAUUUCUAUAUUUCUGCAGCAAAAUCCAUUUAGAUUCUGACUUCUAUUCCUUCCUUCAACAAGUGCUCUUUUACAGACUGAAUGGGUACCUCCUUCCUAUGGAAAAUGCCAGCAGCAAGAGCAGCAGAUGCAUUUGUUUUUGUGAACACCUCGGAGAAGUGUUCAACAGCACCUGCACCACUACUUGCAAUCACAGGGAUACUCACAGCAUCAGAGAUCAACUUUAUUAAAUCUAUAUCAAAUCCUUUCCCUUGACCAUCACAAUCAAUGCAGUUCAGCAAUAUUUCUC
This 320-nucleotide unclassified non-coding RNA is filed under the name Hevea brasiliensis (rubber tree). The record is from RNAcentral. Lineage: Eukaryota; Viridiplantae; Streptophyta; Magnoliopsida; Malpighiales; Euphorbiaceae.